Molecule: ribosomal RNA, 250 nt
Filed under: uncultured bacterium
Lineage: Bacteria
Description: partial 16S ribosomal RNA
Rfam family: Bacterial small subunit ribosomal RNA
Source: RNAcentral
GAGUUUGAUCCUGGCUCAGGACGAACGCUGGCGGCGCGCUUAACACAUGCAAGUCGAGCGAGAACCUGGCCUUCGGGCCUGGGGAAAGCGGCGAACGGGUGAGUAACACGUGGGUAACCCACCCUUGGUACCGGGAUAGCCCGGGGAAACCCGGAUUAAUACCGGAUGGCCCAACAGCUCUUCGGGGCGGUUGGAAAAGGUAGCUUCGGCCUCCGACCAAGGCGGGCCCGCGGCGGAUUAGCUUGUUGGU